AACGAACGCUGGCGGCAUGCCUAACACAUGCAAGUCGAACGAUGCCUUCGGGCAUAGUGGCGCACGGCUGCGUAACGCGUGGGAAUCUGCCUUUCGGUUCGGAAUAACUCAGGGAAACUUGAGCUAAUACCGGAUAACGUCGCACGACCAAAGAUUUAUCACCGAAAGAUGAGCCCGCGUAGGAUUAGCUAGUUGGUGAGGUAAAGGCUCACCAAGGCGACGAUCCUUAGCUGGUCUGAGAGGAUGAUCAGCCACACUGGGACUGAGACACGGCCCAGACUCCGACGGGAGGGAGCAGUGGGGAAUAUUGGACAAUGGGCGAAAGCCUGAUCCAGCAAUGCCGCGUGAGUGAUGAAGGCCUUAGGGUUGUAAAUCUCUUUGACCCGGGAAGAUAAUGACGGUACCGGGAGAAUAAGCCCCGGCUAACUCCGUG
Molecule: ribosomal RNA, 433 nt
Filed under: uncultured bacterium
Lineage: Bacteria
Description: partial 16S ribosomal RNA
Rfam family: Bacterial small subunit ribosomal RNA
Source: RNAcentral